GAUAAACGCUGGCGGCGUGCCUAAAACAUGCAAGUCGAACGGAUCUUGGUUUUCGGACCAAGGUUAGUGGCGGACGGCUGAGUAACACGUGGGUGACCUGCCCUCGAGCGGGGGAUAACUGCCCGAAAGGGUGGCUAAUACCGCAGACAUCCAUCAUUCGGUUGGUGGAUUGAACCUCCGGGGUUCGGGGAGGGGCCCGCGGUCGAUUAGCUAGCUGGUGGGGUAACGGCCUACCAGGGCUUCGAUCGAUAGCUGGUCUGAGAGGAUGAUCAGCCAGACUGGGACUGCGAACGGCCCAGACUCCUACGGGAGGCAGCAGUUAGGAAUUUUGGGCAAUGGGCGAAAGCCUGACCCAGCAACGCCGCGUGGGUGAUGAAGGCCCUCGGGUCGUAAAGCCCUUUUCCCAGGGACGAUGGUGACGGUACCUGGGGAAUCAGCCCCGGCUAACUACGUGCCAGCAGCCGC
This 465-nucleotide ribosomal RNA is filed under the name uncultured bacterium. Its description in RNAcentral is "bacterial SSU rRNA". It matches the Rfam family "Bacterial small subunit ribosomal RNA", at positions 28 to 518 of the family's 1533-position model. The record is from RNAcentral.